This 67-nucleotide transfer RNA is filed under the name Agriotes ustulatus. RNAcentral's name for it is "tRNA-Ser". The record is from RNAcentral. Lineage: Eukaryota; Metazoa; Arthropoda; Insecta; Coleoptera; Elateridae.
GAAGUAUAAGAUAUAAGAAAAAGCUUCUAACUUUAAUCUUUAGCGGUGAAACUCCGUUAAUAUUUCU